Molecule: ribosomal RNA, 306 nt
Filed under: uncultured bacterium
Lineage: Bacteria
Description: bacterial SSU rRNA
Rfam family: Bacterial small subunit ribosomal RNA
Source: RNAcentral
GAGUUUGAUCUUGGCUCAGAUUGAACGCUGGCGGCAGGCCUAACACAUGCAAGUCGAACGGUAACAGGAAACAGCUUGCUGUUUCGCUGACGAGUGGCGGACGGGUGAGUAAUGUCUGGGAAACUGCCUGAUGGAGGGGGAUAACUACUGGAAACGGUAGCUAAUACCGCAUAACGUCGCAAGACCAAAGAGGGGGACCUUCGGGCCUCUUGCCAUCGGAUGUGCCCAGAUGGGAUUAGCUAGUAGGUGAGGUAAGAGCUUACCUAGGCGACGAUGUGUAGCCGGUCUGAGAGGAUGAACGGCCAC